AAGCAUAUUAUUAAGCGGAGGAAAAGAAACUAACCAGGAUUCCCUCAGUAAGGGCGACUGAAGCGGGAAUAGCCCAACUAAAAUCGGCCUUGCCGAAUUGUGGUUUAUAGACUGUUGCGUUACGGGCCGGGCCAAGUCCCUUGGAACAGGGCAGCUGAGAGGGUGAUACUCCCGUACGCCUGGCCUUGGAGCGACGGUCAACGAGUCGAGUUGUUUGGGAUUGCAGCUCAAAGUGGGUGGUAAAUUCCAUCUAAGGCUAAAUACUGGUGGGAGACCGAUAGCGUACAAGUACCGUGAGGGAAAGAUGCAAAGAACUUUGAAAAGAGAGUUAAAGAGUACCUGAACUUGCUGAAACGGAAGCGAAGGAAACCAGUGCCAGGCGAGUUAUAUUGCCUUUCCGCUUGCGGUUUGGGUGUGUGACCGCCGUUGCCAGGCUUGGUUGUGCGGGCUGCAAGCAGCAGCUUUUGCGACUGAGGUUGGCGAAAUGGUUUUCUUUUUCCCGUCUUG
Molecule: ribosomal RNA, 507 nt
Filed under: Tursiocola sp.
Lineage: Eukaryota; Bacillariophyta; Bacillariophyceae; Naviculales; Stauroneidaceae
Description: LSU rRNA
Rfam family: Eukaryotic large subunit ribosomal RNA
Source: RNAcentral